AGUAGUUUGAUCAUGGCUCAGAACGAACGCUGGCGGCAGGCUUAACACAUGCAAGUCGAACGGGCGUAGCAAUACGUCAGUGGCAGACGGGUGAGUAACACGUGGGAACCUUCCUAGGGGUACGGAACAACUCAGGGAAACUUGAGCUAAUACCGUAUACGUCCGUGAGGAGAAAGAUUUAUCGCCCUUAGACGGGCCCGCGUCGGAUUAGCUAGUUGGUGGGGUAACGGCCUACCAAGGCGACGAUCCGUAGCUGAUCUGAGAGGAUGAUCAGCCACACUGGGACUGAGACACGGCCCAGACUCCUACGGGAGGCAGCAGUGGGGAAUCUUGGACAAUGGGCGCAAGCCUGAUCCAGCCAUGCCGCGUGAGUGAAGAAGGCCUUCGGGUUGUAAAGCUCUUUUGUCAGGGACGAUAAUGACGGUACCUGAAGAAUAAGCCCCGGCAAACUUCGUG
Molecule: ribosomal RNA, 456 nt
Filed under: uncultured bacterium
Lineage: Bacteria
Description: bacterial SSU rRNA
Rfam family: Bacterial small subunit ribosomal RNA
Source: RNAcentral